RNAcentral lists this ribosomal RNA (484 nucleotides) under uncultured bacterium. RNAcentral describes it as "partial 16S ribosomal RNA". It matches the Rfam family "Bacterial small subunit ribosomal RNA", at positions 30 to 507 of the family's 1533-position model. The record is from RNAcentral.
AUUGAACGCUGGCGGCAGGCCUAACACAUGCCAGUCGAGCGGAUGAAGGGAGCUUGCUCCUGGAUUCAGCGGCGGACGGGUGAGUAAUGCCUAGGAAUCUGCCUGGUAGUGGGGGAUAACGUCCGGAAACGGGCGCUAAUACCGCAUACGUCCUGAGGGAGAAAGUGGGGGAUCUUCGGACCUCACGCUAUCAGAUGAGCCUAGGUCGGAUUAGCUAGUUGGUGGGGUAAAGGCCUACCAAGGCGACGAUCCGUAACUGGUCUGAGAGGAUGAUCAGUCACACUGGAACUGAGACACGGUCCAGACUCCUACGGGAGGCAGCAGUGGGGAAUAUUGGACAAUGGACGAAAGCCUGAUCCAGCCAUGCCGCGUGUGUGAAGAAGGUCUUCGGAUUGUAAAGCACUUUAAGUUGGGAGGAAGGGCAGUAAGUUAAUACCUUGCUGUUUUGACGUUACCAACAGAAUAAGCACCGGCUAACUUCGUG